UACGUAAGGGGCAAGCGUUGUCCGGAUUUAUUGGGCGUAAAGAGCGUGUAGGCGGCCAGGUAGGUCCGUUGUGAAAACUCGAGGCUCAACCUCGAGACGCCGAUGGAAACCAUCUGGCUAGAGUCCGGAAGAGGAGAGUGGAAUUCCCGGUGUAGCGGUGAAAUGCGCAGAUAUCGGGAAGAACACCCGUGGCUAAGGCGGCUCUCUAGUACGGUACUGACGCUGAGACGCGAAAGCGUGGGGAGCGAACAGG
RNAcentral lists this ribosomal RNA (253 nucleotides) under uncultured bacterium. RNAcentral describes it as "partial 16S ribosomal RNA". It matches the Rfam family "Bacterial small subunit ribosomal RNA", at positions 524 to 776 of the family's 1533-position model. The record is from RNAcentral.